ACGAACCGUGCGAACGUUGUUCGGAAUCACUGGGCUUAAAGGGCGCGUAGGCGGGCCACCAAGUCUGCGGUGAAAUCCCUCGGCUCAACUGAGGAACUGCACGGGAAACUGCUUGGCUUGAGUUCGGGAGAGGGAAGCGGAAUUCCGGGUGUAGCGGUGAAAUGCGUAGAUAUCCGGAGGAACACCGGUGGCGAAGGCGGCUUCCUGGACCGACACUGACGCUGAGGCGCGAAAGCUAGGGGAGCAAACGGGA
This 253-nucleotide ribosomal RNA is filed under the name uncultured prokaryote. RNAcentral's name for it is "partial 16S ribosomal RNA". It matches the Rfam family "Bacterial small subunit ribosomal RNA", at positions 525 to 777 of the family's 1533-position model. The record is from RNAcentral.